UGUCGAAAACAGGGAUUGAACCAGGGACCUUUAGAUCUUCAGUCUAACGCUCUCCAAACUGAGCUUUUGUGAC
Cordylochernes scorpioides is the source of this 73-nucleotide non-coding RNA. NCBI's taxonomy places the organism in Eukaryota, Metazoa, Arthropoda, Arachnida, Pseudoscorpiones, Chernetidae. The record is from the annotation of a GenBank genome assembly.